GUGCUUGCUUCAGCAGCACAUAUACUAAAAUUGGAAGGAUACAGAGAAGAUUAGCAUGGCCCCUGCACAAGGAUGACACACAAAUUCGUGAAGCGUUCCAUAUUUAA
RNAcentral lists this small nuclear RNA (107 nucleotides) under Monodon monoceros (narwhal). Lineage: Eukaryota; Metazoa; Chordata; Mammalia; Artiodactyla; Monodontidae. RNAcentral also lists the same sequence under 1 other name. The record is from RNAcentral.